Lynx canadensis (Canada lynx) is the source of this 2867-nucleotide long non-coding RNA. RefSeq lists it as uncharacterized. The transcript has 3 exons. NCBI's taxonomy places the organism in Eukaryota, Metazoa, Chordata, Mammalia, Carnivora, Felidae. The record is from RefSeq and is a predicted model, not a curated record.
CCGGCUCCCCGUUUUCCUGAAUGUAGGUCAUUUCGUGUCCUUACAAUUUAACGUCCGAAGGGAUUUCCUGUCUUUGAAGUGUAGCACUUUGUCACCUGUUUGGAUAGGCUCCCUAAAAGUAAGGGCUCUGUUCCUACUUUGCAAGACUUAGUGACUCCAUGUUCCCUGGCUGGAGUUUCCCAGAUCACUGAGGGCCGCGCACUGCAGGUGUGGGUCUUUCCUUUACAAGUCGGCGCCUGCAGAUCCCAUAUUCCAGACUUCAUUCCUCUAGGUCAGAGCCUACGAGAAAAGCCCGGAGCCAUCCACUCACCUGGGUGAGGCCAUAAAGAGUUAAAAUUACCAACCAUGAGAAGGAAAAGUGAUUUUUGGAAAACAUGAAACAUUGGUGAAUCGGAGUCUGACUACUAAAUUUGGGAGUGGAUCUGGACAAAAUGAAAGUUUACAUCUAGCAGCUGAGCAGCUGAGGAUGAGUUCGGCUCAUGUGAACGUGAAUCCCCAGGACACCUGGCCCAGCCGGUCGUGUGGAACGUCACUCAGCACGCCCGAGGGGCUCCCUCGCCGCCCGCGCUCCGCCAGCACAGCCUGCACACCAGCCUUCCUUCUCUCAACACUUGGCUGCCAGCCAUCUGGCCCCCAUGACCGGAGCCUCCCGAGCAAAAGGUACACAAGAAACGGGCUGAAUGCAUACCACGUCUUUUUCAAAACUGGCAAACUGGUCAUGAGAACAGCCUUCCAAGCCUUAAGGCUUGGGUUCAGCUCUCUCGCAACAAAGAAAAACAAAUCUCUGUGUUUGUCCAGAGUCUAGAACACAUCCAAGCCCUCUGACUGCCGUAGCACACAGGACAUGGCAUGGAUAACAUAAAUGCACCAAAGAAACAGCACUAUAGAGAAAGCUGUUGGUGCUCAAGAACUACGUAACAAGAAGGAAAUGCAAAAAGACACGAUAUCCGUGAGGGAGGUGUUGCUGCUUCUGUUCUGACCUAAGUAAGGCUCAGACAGGGUUUGUGAGGCAGACAUUAGCUGCUUCUCCACAUAAUGUUAUGCCUUAGCAUGUGAUUGGAGUUCGGGGGGUCUUUCUUGCUUUUCUCUGAUCUCCCCCUUUUGUCAUUGUUCGUGAAAGUAGCUGAGCUUCAGGUUGGCCUGAAAUCCCGUGGCACUUAGAGCUACAUGAUCAAAGUCUGUUGUAGGCAUUUGGGCUGGUGCCAACAAAGUUCAGGUUGUGCUUCAAACAGAGCUUCGGGCACCUCUCAGCCACGGGCGAGGGGCUGACUGGGUUUGAUCUCGAACUGUGCGCAUUUGGGGAGUCUCAGGUCCCUUGUUGAUAAGCCCUGCUUGGCAGAGCUCUGCUUUAAUUAACAUGGCCCUCGGGUUGGUUCGAUUUCCCAUGUUUCAGCACCUCACUGGGUGUAACCUUAUCUUUCCAUUUCGUACGCAUGAUGGAUCUGAAACGGCACAGGUGAAGUUUGUCUUUGACUUGACAGCUGGAUUACUUCCAAGUUUCACAACUACAGAAGAAAAGUCCCAAAUCCCAGCUCUUCUUAUCAUUUGGCAUUUUAUGGAGCAGCCGCAGUGGGUGAGAUGUUAAUAUGGUUAGACACGCUUCCAGCAAAAUGAACUUACCGCUUAAAAGUUUAUGCAUCUACUAAGUGUAAGUGUUAGAGGCAAGGGAAAUAAAUGAAUGAUAGAUGUAGUUGGGGGUGACGGCGAGGCAUCUCUGAGAAGCUUGGAAAGAGGGCAAGUGAUUGUCGCCAAGCAUUAAGCUACUUAAAUAAAUGAAUAUAAUUGAAGGAGACAACAUGUUUCAUUACCUUUCGGGAAGAGUGUUCAGAUGAAAAAGGAGGACAGUGUCCUGAGGAGCACAAGUCCUGCAAGACGCUUCUCUAGUCAGUUUGAGGCAAUCUUUGGUAGAUAGUCACACGCCCCUUUUCCUUUGGUUACAUUUCCAUUUCUCUCAACCUUUUUUUUUUUUUUAAACCAUGAAACCUCAUCACCACUCCCAAACUUUGUUUUUUAAAUCAUGCUCAUUAGCAUACUGAGAAACUCAUUUGCAAAACAUACCUGCUCUGGGACUCUAGCAUGGCCCAAAACACAAGGAGAGGAAUCACUCCGGUAGUCAGAGACUCUGUGUGUGUGUGUGUGUGUGUGUGUGUAUGUGUGUGUGUCUUGAAGUGUUAUCUGUCCUUAUCAUGGUCCACAUGGAGCAUCUUCCGAUACUAUUCACUCUCCCUUUGCAGAUUUCUAGAUAAUGACAGCUUCUCAGCUAGUGUGAUACCAGGAAAGGGUUGUUAAGGGUAGGAGAAAAGGUAUUUCUCUACCCUGGAAAGGGAUAUCCUUCACUACAGGUAGUCAACACCUUCACAUAUUCAUCAGUUUCUCGUGAGUUAACACGAGACCAUGACCAGCUUUGAAAGAUGUGGGUCCAGGUAAUACCUUUGCCACUUACUAGAUGUGUAGUUUUCGUCCUGGUUCUGUGGCUCGGUUUCUUCACUUGUAUACUGGGGUUAUGAAAAUAUUUUGGAAUGGCUGUAAGUAUUAAACAAGCCAACAUAUGCUUAGUGCCUGCCACAAAUAUAUUUCAUAUUGUUUUUUUUCUAUUAUGAUUCCUUAUUUCAGAGAUCAGCAGAUGUCAACAUGAUUUUUAUAACACACUAGAACUCUCUAAACAAGUUCCCCAAAAGGCCAUUGUUAACAAAAUGUGCAUUGUUUCUUUUAUUCACCAUUGCAGAGAUAUAGCCAAGCGUUCAAAGCCGCCACUCAUAAGUGGCUCUCAUCUUGCAAAAGCCAAAGAGGUUUAUAAAUAGAGUCCCUACUUUAAGAAUUUUACUUCCUGGGGGCACUUGGGUGGUUCAGUCAGUUAAGCAUCCAAC